GCGGCGAACGGGUGAGUAACACGUGAGCAAUCUGCCCUUCACAUCGGGAUAACCCCCGGAAACGGGAGCUAAUACCGGAUACGACCACUUCAGGCAUCUGAUGGUGGUGGAAAGUUCUGGCGGUGAAGGAUGAGCUCGCGGCCUAUCAGCUUGUUGGUGAGGUAAUGGCCCACCAAGGCUUCGACGGGUAGCCGGCCUGAGAGGGUGACCGGCCACACUGGGACUGAGACACGGCCCAGACUCCUACGGGAGGCAGCAGUGGGGAAUAUUGGACAAUGGGCGAAAGCCUGAUCCAGCAACGCCGCGUGAGGGAUGACGGCCUUCGGGUUGUAAACCUCUUUCAGCGCAGACGAAGCGAAAGUGACGGUAUGCGCAGAAGAAGCACCGGCCAACUACGUGCCAGCAGCCGCGGUAAUACGUAGGGUGCGAGCGUUGUCCGGAAUUAUUGGGCGUAAAGGGCUCGUAGGCGGUCUGUUGCGUCAGGAGUGAAAACUCGGGGCUUAACCCCGAGCCUGCUUCUGAUACGGGCAGACUAGAGGUAUGCAGGGGAGAACGGAAUUCCUGGUGUAGCGGUGAAAUGCGCAGAUAUCAGGAGGAACACCGGUGGCGAAGGCGGUUCUCUGGGCAUUACCUGACGCUGAGGAGCGAAAGUGUGGGGAGCGAACAGGAUUAGAUACCCUGGUAGUCCACACCGUAAACGUUGGGCGCUAGGUGUGGGACUCAUUCCACGAGUUCCGUGCCGCAGCUAACGCAUUAAGCGCCCCGCCUGGGGAGUACGGC
This 780-nucleotide ribosomal RNA is filed under the name Marmoricola sp. PSY093. Its description in RNAcentral is "bacterial SSU rRNA". It matches the Rfam family "Bacterial small subunit ribosomal RNA", at positions 95 to 886 of the family's 1533-position model. Lineage: Bacteria; Bacillati; Actinomycetota; Actinomycetes; Propionibacteriales; Nocardioidaceae. The record is from RNAcentral.